This 583-nucleotide long non-coding RNA is filed under the name Homo sapiens (human). RNAcentral's name for it is "long intergenic non-protein coding RNA 1968". Lineage: Eukaryota; Metazoa; Chordata; Mammalia; Primates; Hominidae. The record is from RNAcentral.
AAUGUCACAGUGGUUAUACAAGUGAGUCCUGUUCAGCGUGGGAGGAAAUAACACAAGAGGCAAAGAUCACUCGGGACCACCUUGUAUAUUGGCUACCACAGAACCCAACACAAGCACACUGCAAUGAAUGCUGCUGCACACGCUGUUGAGCUCGUGGACACUUUCCUGCUGGGUGAGGACCCGAACGUGAAAUUGCUGGGUCAUGGAUUCAAGUGCUACACAUAUUUUUGACCACAUUACUGUGACUCAGGAAGCCCAGGAACAGAAUUCUAGGCACCAGAACCAUACAUGUUACAGCCUCUGAGCUUUAUGGCCUCUGAGCCAUUUGUCCAGCCACAUCAUUUGCAGAUGAGAUCCUGAGACUCAGGCUGGAAAAGUGACCGGGGAAAAGUCACACAAGUCAGAGGCAGAGCUGGAGUUUCCUCAUUUCCAGGCCCGUAUAGAUCAAGACGGACGUUGGUCAAACACCUCCUAGUACUCACAUGAAGAAGCUCUCCUUUCUGCUGUAGGAAUGAUCACACACCAUUCCAAUCUGGAUACCAAAUGUCAUUGUUUAUUAAAUGUGUGCAGUGUGCCAGGCAUA